CUUACUUUCAGUGCUCGAAGUGCUCAAGUGCGCCACACUGACAAAACCAGCAGAAUUCAGUGCACUGAAAGUACCCGGAUGGUGCACUGCAAACGGGCAGAAAAUGUAGUGUAAAACGAUGGACACUACUCGCCCUAAGCGGCCGCCAUCUUGGUGACGUAGCGGAAGAGGAGGAGCCCUUUCACCAGCUUUUCAUUUUAUUUCUAAAACAAUGGCGGACAGCACAAGCGGUAGACCACGAAGCUACAGACCGUAAAUAGUCGUUUCCUGGAGGUGCUGGUCCUCUGCUGCCCUCCCGACAUCUGGCUCCAAUGACCUCUGGCACCUCACAUCCACCUCCAGGGCCUUGAAGAAGAUGGACCGCCAUCAAUAGCCCCCACCACUCUGCUGAAGGCUGCCGACCCAGCUAGACGGGUGAAGCGGGCACCUAGGCGUGGGAGUUCCUCUCCUGGAGGGUGGCGGACAACAGUGGACAGGAGCGCAGCGAUCUGCCCACUCAUCCUGUGCACCAGCCGGGCCACCGUUCACCGGCCUGUCGAAGGCCCUGGCCACCACCCGAUAGGAGGUGGUGCUGGCAAGUCAAAAAAUAAAAACUAGACAGGAGAUCUCGGGGCCCCAACCGUGGUCAGUCAGUGCCCAGCACAGCCAUGAGGGCGUUGAAUGACUCGGGUGAGCCUGAAGUCCACCCUCAUGUCACUGUGGCCAUCACAACACAACGCCAGCAGUGGCAUUGCAACAUGGAUACGGCAGCGCCGCCUGGGACUGGGUGGCUGCUGUAGAGUGUGUGGGGAGGGGAAGAUUAUAUUAAUAUGUAAGUCAUUUUAUCAAUAAAAUGUUGUCAUUGAGGUUUUGUAGUCUUUUAUUGCGUUUUCUGAUUUAUAUUAGAAUUGAUGCAUGUUUGUAACAAUAAUUAAUAUGCCUGUGUGUUCAAUUGCUAAUUGAUUCCUGUAUCAGGGUGAACUUCACUACAACAGAGAUGUGUAUAAAAGUACAGUCAGUCAAAGUAGGCCUAUUACUGUGUGAAUUCAAGCAGAUGAUGCCUAUCAUUUCAGUGGAUAAUUCUUAAAACUAAUUGGAAUCUAGGGACAAACAUGUA
Long non-coding RNA from Pseudoliparis swirei, 1096 nucleotides. RefSeq lists it as uncharacterized. NCBI's taxonomy places the organism in Eukaryota, Metazoa, Chordata, Actinopteri, Perciformes, Liparidae. The record is from RefSeq and is a predicted model, not a curated record. The transcript has 2 exons.